This 546-nucleotide ribosomal RNA is filed under the name uncultured fungus. RNAcentral describes it as "eukaryotic LSU rRNA". The stretch from base 182 to 335 matches the Rfam family "5.8S ribosomal RNA". The record is from RNAcentral. Lineage: Eukaryota; Fungi.
UAAAGAGAUAGGGUCUUCAUGGCCCGACCUCCACCCUCUGUUGUUAAACUACCUUGUUGCUUUGGCGGGACCGUCUCGGUCUCCGAGCGCACUAACCCUCGGGUUGGUGAGCGCCCGCCAGAGUCCAACCAAACUCUUGUAUUAAACCAGUCGUCUGAGUAUAAAAUUUUAAUUAAAUUAAAACUUUCAACAACGGAUCUCUUGGUUCUCGCAUCGAUGAAGAACGCAGCGAAAUGCGAUAAGUAAUGUGAAUUGCAGAAUUCAGUGAAUCAUCGAAUCUUUGAACGCACAUUGCGCCCCUUGGUAUUCCGAGGGGCAUGCCUGUUCGAGCGUCAUUACACCACUCAAGCAUCGCUUGGUAUUGGGAACGGUCCGUCGAAAGGCGGGCCUUCCUCGAAGACCUCGGCGGGGUUCAACCAACUUCGGGCGUAGUAGAGUUAAAUCGAACGUCUUAUAAGCUUGGUCGGAUCUCAUUGCCGUUAAACCUUUAAAUUUUCUAGGUUGACCUCGGAUCAGGUAGGGAUACCCGCUGAACUUAAGCAUAUC